Molecule: RNA transcript, 1845 nt
Organism: Aphis gossypii (cotton aphid)
Lineage: Eukaryota; Metazoa; Arthropoda; Insecta; Hemiptera; Aphididae
Exons: 2
Source: RefSeq, a predicted model, not a curated record
AUUUAAUUUCUAAACAUUUAAUAUUAUAAAUUAUAACAAUUAUGUUCUACAGUCUAAAAUUAUUAUUUAUCUACUUGGCAUAAUCGAAAUACCAUUCUUAAUUUUACCGAAAUUUUGUUGCAAUUUAAAUUUUAUAUUUUCAACGAAAUUUUUCGAAAUGUUUAAAAUAAAUCUAGGAAAAAAAGGCAAUUAAAAAAGAAGUAACGGAAAAAAGCAAAUGAAAAAAAGGUAUACAAGAUGAGUAAAUCAAGUUUGGAAACUGCUGGUAUAGCAAAUAAAGAAAACUCAUUCUCCUACAAAUUCAGAUGCAUUUGAAUUGGUUUGAAAAUAAUAAAAGUAAUACAUUUUUUGUAUGAAUAGAGUCUGAGCAAAUACAAAAUUUCAUCCGAAUUGGGUCUGGGCAUGUAAAAUGAUGUGUUUGAAUUGGGUCCGUUUAUAAUUAUUUAUCGAAUCAUAGUGAUAAUAUAAUAAACGAAUAUAAUAUGGAUCACAUACUUUCCGUUGAAAAUUAAAAUACACUGAUCAGGCAUAACAAUAGUAAUAUUUUAUCGUAGUAAUAAAAUGCGUUGAAUUACACUGAUACAUGACACUAGUAUAUGUUCACAUUCCAUACAUAAUGGACACGUCUUGUAAUAUUAUGUUGAGUAUAAAAGACAAACAUAUUAAUGUUAUUGAUGGUUUUAAAUUUUCAUUUCAUAAAAGUCUAAAAAAUGAUAUUGAAUGAUGGAGAUGUGUAAAAAAAACAUGAAAAUCUUUUUAUAAACUCCAAAAUGAAAUAAUUAUUGAAAAAAAUAUCUCGCACAAUCAUAAACCUGAUUAAGCAAAUAUUUUAACCAGGCAAACAGUGAGUAACUCUUUAAAAAGAAAAUAUCAAGAAAACCAUUAUAAAAUUACAUCUAAGUUGUUAUAUAAUCAAUUUGAAAAUGAUAAAGAAACUCCAACAUAUAAGGAUUGUACUUUAAUCAAAAGAAAUAUGUGUAAUGCUAAAAAAAGUAUUCAACCGAGUAUUCCUAUAAGUUUAAGCGAUAUUGAUAAAACAUUAAACAAUUUUAAAAUAAAAAAUGUUUAUGUUUGAUAUUUAUGAAAGUAAAAAAAAAAUCUUAAUUUUUAGUUCAAUCUUUAAGUUAAAAUUUUUUUGUGUACUCAGUGAUAACCUGGGUAGGGAACCUCUGAUUUAAUAAGUAUUCAGCCAGAUGAUGAAUGAUUAAACAAAUUUAUGGAAUAUUUAUUAAAAAAUUAUAUUUGUCCCAAUGCAAAGUUCCCUCCAAAAUUAUGGUCUGAAUUUAAGCCUAAUAUAAUAAGAACUACAAACGCAUGUGAAUCCUUUCAUUCACACUUCAAAGUUCAAUUCUAUGUUUUAUUCUGCUCACCCAAAUAUAUUUCAAUUUAUACAAGUUUUAAAAAAUAUUCAAAGCGACAUUUACAUUAAAAUGAGAAGUUCGGAGGAAAAAAGAAGAAACUAUAUAAUAUCUAAGGAAGACUUUGAGAAGGAAAAAUUGACAGAAAAAUAUUGGGAAAAAUUAAUUGCUACGAAUUUGUUAAAUCUGUUUCUUAUAAAUUAUUUACUUAACUUAAAUUAAUAACUAUAUGUUAUUAGACAGUCCAAGUCCAAAUCUGUAAAAAUGGGAAGGGAAAUAUUUUUUUUCUGGAACCCAACUAUAAGUACUGCAGGCUUUUUUAUACGAGACCCAAUUGGUAAACAAUUGAAAUCUGGAACCCAACUGGUAUGCGCCAACAAAUUCAUGUACAUUCAAAUCUCAGUAACUCAAACACUUUUAUGUCUCAUUUUCUUUUGUCAUUUAAAGUUAUAUAACUCAAAAAAUAAACAAGUAAAAUGUAUUUUUA